Molecule: ribosomal RNA, 441 nt
Filed under: uncultured bacterium
Lineage: Bacteria
Description: partial 16S ribosomal RNA
Rfam family: Bacterial small subunit ribosomal RNA
Source: RNAcentral
CCUACGGGAGGCAGCAGUGGGGAAUAUUGCACAAUGGGGGAAACCCUGAUGCAGCGACGCCGCGUGAGUGAAGAAGUAUUUCGGUAUGUAAAGCUCUAUCAGCAGGGAAGAAAAAAGACGGUACCUGACUAAGAAGCCCCGGCUAACUACGUGCCAGCAGCCGCGGUAAGACGUAGGGGGCAAGCGUUAUCCGGAUUUACUGGGUGGAAAGGGAGCGUAGACGGCGCGGCAAGUCUGAAGUGAAAGGCAGGGGCUUAACCCCUGAACUGCUUUGGAAACUGCCAUGCUAGAGUGCUGGAGAGGUAAGUGGAAUUCCUAGUGUAGCGGUGAAAUGCGUAGAUAUUAGGAGGAACACCAGUGGCGAAGGCGGCUUACUGGACAGUAACUGACGUUGAGGCUCGAAAGCGUGGGGAGCAAACAGGAUUAGAUACCCCAGUAGUC